CACGUAGGGUGCGAGCGUUGUCCGGAAUUAUUGGGCGUAAAGAGCUCGUAGGCGGUCCGUCACGUCGGAUGUGAAAUUCCAGGGCUCAACCCUGGACCUGCAUUCGAUACGGGCGGACUAGAGUUCGGUAGGGGAGACUGGAAUUCCUGGUGUAGCGGUGAAAUGCGCAGAUAUCAGGAGGAACACCGGUGGCGAAGGCGGCCUGCUGGGGUGGAGCUGACGCUGAGGCGCGACAGCGUGGGGAGCAAACAGG
RNAcentral lists this ribosomal RNA (253 nucleotides) under uncultured bacterium. RNAcentral describes it as "partial 16S ribosomal RNA". It matches the Rfam family "Bacterial small subunit ribosomal RNA", at positions 524 to 776 of the family's 1533-position model. The record is from RNAcentral.